UAAGUUCCGACCCGCACGAAAGGCGUAACGAUUUGGGCACUGUCUCAACGAGAGACUCGGUGAAAUUUUAGUACCUGUGAAGAUGCAGGUUACCCGCGACAGGACGGAAAGACCCCGUGGAGCUUUACUGUAGCCUGAUAUUGAAAUUCGGCACAGCUUGUACAGGAUAGGUAGGAGCCUUUGAAACGUGAGCGCUAGCUUACGUGGAGGCGUUGGUGGGAUACUACCCU
RNAcentral lists this ribosomal RNA (230 nucleotides) under Emiliania huxleyi. RNAcentral describes it as "partial Bacterial large subunit ribosomal RNA". It matches the Rfam family "Bacterial large subunit ribosomal RNA", at positions 1977 to 2206 of the family's 2925-position model. Lineage: Eukaryota; Haptophyta; Isochrysidales; Noelaerhabdaceae. The record is from RNAcentral.